CCGGAUUUUAGCUCCACACUGUCACCAGCCAGACUCCCCACCACAGUGACACAAACCAACCAGCCGCCUCGAGAGGUUGCUGAAGAGGUAUGCAGCGAUGGUCUGGAGGAAAAAAUAGUCACAUGGACUGGUGUGCAUUCCAGUACUUGAAAUGAUGCUGUUGCUCAGGCACAUCCAGGUGCGAGGAUGGGGGAGAUCCGGAUGUCGCUAAAUAAAAGAAUCUGUGAACUGCUUCACCAAGAGAAAAAGAAGUCCAUGGACAGGCCUAUGAGCCCUCUUGUUGACUUUGAGUGACUGAGGCUGCGGGCGGUCUGCCCCUGAAUUCACCUUCACUUUCUUUUCUUUUAAAAAAAAAUAUAUCUGAAGGUGUGGGUGUGUGUGUGUGUGUGCGCGCGCG
Molecule: long non-coding RNA, 397 nt
Organism: Engraulis encrasicolus (European anchovy)
Lineage: Eukaryota; Metazoa; Chordata; Actinopteri; Clupeiformes; Engraulidae
Exons: 3
Source: RefSeq, a predicted model, not a curated record